AGUAAAGCUUGAUCUGGCUCGGCUAAGUCCCGAAAACCCGCGAAUUCACCGCAAGAGGUUUGAGUAAAAGAGGGUAACCUGCUAGUAACACUGGGAUAAUACGGGAAACCGGAACUAAUACCGGAUAGUUCCUUGAACCGCAUGGUUCAAGGAUGAAAGACGGUUUCGGCUGUCACUUACAGAUGGACCCGCGGCGCAUUAGCUAGUUGGUGGGGUAAUGGCUCACCAAGGCGACGAUGCGUAGCCGACCUGAGAGGGUGAUCGGCCACACUGGGACUGAGACACGGCCCAGACUCCUACGGGAGGCAGCAGUAGGGAAUCUUCCGCAAUGGACGAAAGUCUGACGGAGCAACGCCGCGUGAGUGAUGAAGGUUUUCGGAUCGUAAAGCUCUGUUGUUAGGGAAGAACAAGUGCGAGAGUAACUGCUCGCACCUUGACGGUACCUAACCAGAAAGCCACGGCUAACUACGUGCCAGCAGCCGCGGUAAUACGUAGGUGGCAAGCGUUGUCCGGAAUUAUUGGGCGUAAAGGGCUCGCAGGCGGUUUCUUAAGUCUGAUGUGAAAGCCCCGGCUCAACCGGGGAGGGUCAUUGGAAACUGGGAAACUUGAGUGCAAAGAGGAGAGUGGAAUUCCACGUGUAGCGGUGAAAUGCGUAGAGAUGUGGAGGAACACCAGUGGCGAAGGCGACUCUUUGGUCUGUAACUGACGCUGAGGAGCGAAAGCGUGGGGAGCGAACAGGAUUAGAUACCCUGGUAGUCCACGCCGUAAACGAUGAGUGCUAAGUGUUAGGGGGUUUCCGCCCCUUAGUGCUGCAGCUAACGCAUUAAGCACUCCGCCUGGGGAGUACGGUCGCAAGACUGAAACUCAAAGGAAUUGACGGGGGCCCGCAUAAGCGGUGGAGCAUGUGGUUAAUUCGAAGCAACUUGAAGUACCUUACCAGGUUUUGACAUCCUUUGACACCCCCAGA
Molecule: ribosomal RNA, 967 nt
Filed under: Bacillus pumilus
Lineage: Bacteria; Bacillati; Bacillota; Bacilli; Caryophanales; Bacillaceae
Description: bacterial SSU rRNA
Rfam family: Bacterial small subunit ribosomal RNA
Source: RNAcentral